AGAGUUUGAUCCUGGCUCAGGACGAACGCUGGCGGCGUGCCUAAUACAUGCAAGUCGAACGCAUUUUCUUUCACUGUAGCUUGCUACACCGAAAGAAAAUGAGUGGCGAACGGGUGAGUAACACGUGGGUAACCUGCCCAUCAGCGGGGGAUAACACUUGGAAACAGGUGCUAAUACCGCAUAAUUCCAUUUACCGCAUGGUAGAUGGAUGAAAGGCGCUUUUGCGUCACUGAUGGAUGGACCUGCGGUGCAUUAGCUAGUUGGUGGGGUAACGGCCUACCAAGGCUGCGAUGCAUAGCCGACCUGAGAGGGUGAUCGGCCACACUGGGACUGAGACACGGCCCAGACUCCUACGGGAGGCAGCAGUAGGGAAUCUUCGGCAAUGGACGCAAGUCUGACCGAGCAACGCCGCGUGAGUGAAGAAGGUUUUCGGAUCGUAAAACUCUGUUGUUAGAGAAGAACAAGGACGAGAGUGGAAAGUUCAUCCCUUGACGGUAUCUAACCAGAA
RNAcentral lists this ribosomal RNA (508 nucleotides) under uncultured bacterium. RNAcentral describes it as "bacterial SSU rRNA". It matches the Rfam family "Bacterial small subunit ribosomal RNA", at positions 8 to 488 of the family's 1533-position model. The record is from RNAcentral.